UGGCAAGUCGUGCGAGAAAGUCCCCUUCGGGGGGCGAGUAAAGCGGCGAAAGGGUGAGUAACACGUGGGCAACCUGCCCUCGGGAUCGGGAUAACGUGCCGAAAGGUGCGCUAAUACCGGAUAAGACCACGCGGACGAUGUCCGAGCGGUAAAAGAUGGCCUCUCGACGAAGCUAUUACCUGGGGAUGGGCCCGCGGCCUAUUAGCUAGUUGGUAGGGUAACGGCCUACCAAGGCUCUGAUGGGUAGCCGGCCUGAGAGGGUGUACGGCCACACUGGAACUGAGACACGGUCCAGACUCCUACGGGAGGCAGCAGUGGGGGAAUUUUGCGCAAUGGGGGAAACCCUGACGCAGCAACGCCGCGUGAGUGAUGAAGGCCUUCGGGUCGUAAAGCUCUUUUGGAGGGAAAGAAAUGUGUCGUGGCUAAUAUCCACGGCAUUUGACGGUACCCUCAGAAAAAGUUCCGGCUAACUCCGUGCCAGCAGCCGCGGUAA
This 493-nucleotide ribosomal RNA is filed under the name uncultured delta proteobacterium. RNAcentral describes it as "bacterial SSU rRNA". It matches the Rfam family "Bacterial small subunit ribosomal RNA", at positions 55 to 523 of the family's 1533-position model. Lineage: Bacteria; Deltaproteobacteria. The record is from RNAcentral.